AAAAUUACCCUGCAGGGGAGAUACCAUGAUCACGAAGGUGGUUUUCCCAGGGCGAGGCUCAUCCAUUGCACUCCGGAUGUGCUGACCCCUGUAAUUUCCCCAAAUGUGGGAAACUCGACUGCAUGAUUUGUGGUAGCAGGGGACUGUGUUCGAGCUUUCCCUAG
Molecule: small nuclear RNA, 164 nt
Filed under: Callithrix jacchus (white-tufted-ear marmoset)
Lineage: Eukaryota; Metazoa; Chordata; Mammalia; Primates; Cebidae
Description: U1 spliceosomal RNA (ENSCJAG00000076998.1)
Rfam family: U1 spliceosomal RNA
About the family: U1 is a small nuclear RNA (snRNA) component of the spliceosome (involved in pre-mRNA splicing). Its 5' end forms complementary base pairs with the 5' splice junction, thus defining the 5' donor site of an intron. There are significant differences in sequence and secondary structure between metazoan and yeast U1 snRNAs, the latter being much longer (568 nucleotides as compared to 164 nucleotides in human).
Source: Rfam by way of RNAcentral